CAAAUUUUUCUCUGUAUCAGAAACAUCCCUCAAUCACCAUAGACGUUAGUAAUCUGAUUUAAUCUGCUUCUACAGAAAAAUGCUUCACAGAAUUUAGUCAUCUUCCCUCAAUUCCUUUAGUUCAGUUACUCUGUUUUCAUCCCCUCUGUCGAUUGGGUCCCCGUACCCUCGAAGAGGGUUUGGGGGCCUCUCAGGGACUCUGCUAUUAGCCAUUAUCCCAACACGCCGGGCGCUCCUUCUGUCACUUAUUCUUGCUUUAUGCAUGCCUCAUGUGAAUCCUUCGCUAUUCACAAGACUUGCUCCGUAAUUUAAUGGAAUGCUCGCUUCAACAUACAAGCUUCUAGGUGAUUGAGGUGUGAUCUCCUUAUCCUUGCCCUUGCUUUUUAUACCAGUGGCUAGUUUUUUAUAGCCUAUAACAUUUUAAAGGUGUUUUAAACCGUUCUGAACACAAAUGAACCCUAAAAGACUAUAACGAAAAGAAUUGGAGAUUAGAGAAAAUAACUAGUGAAGAGCCAUGUGUACCUCCAAUAUCUCAAUUGUUCAAUCAAAAGAAGUUUCAAUUACUAUUAUAUUUGUUUUAAUGUUUUAGUUCUUCUUCUAGGUUAGUCGUCUUGUCUUGUGAUUACUAGUUUUUUAAUGUAACAUUUGCUAUUGAUGUCAAUUACAUUUUAUUUUUCGAGUUUGCAAAUUGGACUUUUUAUCUUGUUAAGAUGUUCUAUUACGGAUUUUUUUUAACUUUUUGUAGUUUAUUAUUAAUAUAUUUUGUACUUUUAAUUGAUUAUAUUAUUUUUUUGGGUUUACCUUGAGGUUCACGGCUUGUGUGAUAGAGGCAAAUUCCUCGAUACAACGAGGCACUUUAUAAAUCUGGUUGCUUGGUAAAUGGCUACUAAAGUUUUUGUAAAUUUGGGAAGAGGGUUGGAGUUUGUUGACUAUCUAACCUAGUUCCGUCUAGGAACAACCUUGUCUUGAAACAUUUAAGUAAUUUAGGGCUGCAAGUUAGCUUUAGUAGCUUGAUUUAAGCUCAGCUGAAUUGGAGUGAGCCAUUGGACAAAAAUACUGACUUGUAGGCUCAUGAGCUUUUUGUUAGUCUAGGUUUGUAAGAUAGUAAUGUUGUUUCAUAAUGAUAUUUCCCUCCAUUACAUCAUCCUUUUGAAGAAGUAAAAGGGACACUGAUAAAGAACAUAAUUGAACAAGAACAGCAAGUGAUAAAGUUUUCAAUGGACCAAAAAUUCAGAAAUUUGGCAGUCCUCAAAUCCUUUGUUCAUAAACUGGUGAAAAUCAGUACCAUUUUUAGAUUGUGGGUUUAGUGCUUGUUUACUCCAUUAUCAUAUAUUAUUAUUGAAUUCUACGCUCUCUCUCUUUUUUUUUUUUAAAUAUUUUUCUUCUAUAGAUUAGAUGUUUAAUUUAUGUGCACAUUUUUAUGAGUUUAUUGUUACUUAGAUUAGACACACACGCGCGCACACUCUCUUUGACUUGAUUUUCAGAAAAUUAGGACACAGACAUGUCUAGAUACGUCAAUUAAAGUAAUAAUAAAUUUUAUAUUUAUUUUAAAAAUUUUAUAAUGCAGAGUGAAUCUAACAUUUCAUACUUGAUGCAUCAAAGUGUAUAUAAAAUAUAUAACAAACUUGACACGAAGUUCAUGGUUUUCUCAUAGCAUGGAGUUCAGCAAAACGAAAAUGAAAUAAUUUCUAUCAUUUUACCUUGAGUUGCAUCUCCAACAUUUUCAUCUGUGUCAUCAGUGAAGUGUGCUGCCUCCAAUACAGGUUUAUGAGUUUAUCUAGAGACAAAUGGCAUUUUUAAACACACUAACAUUAUCAACUGAAUCAAAUUUAUUAGUUUUAAUGUCCGACAUCUUAGUCUCUCCUCGUAUAUAAUAUGGGUUCCUUUGUAAUAGACAAAGAUUUCUAUAGAAGGAGACUAAAUUCUUUGCACAUGUUGGAGCUAGGGUAUUCCUUUUAAGAGAAUUCAAAAAGGAAUAAGAAUUGCAUUUUCGCUUACAACACCGUGAAGACGUUUAUACAAAUAACUUCAAGAUAUUGUGUGAAGCAUUGUUAUAUAAGCGCCAUGAAUGACCCAUAAAGCCUUUAGGUCAACGUUGUAAUGAUCAUUGAUAGUACCAAAAUCUGUGAAUCACUCUAUCAAUUGAUCACAAUUCUCACUCCUUUUUCUAUUGGCAUGCCCUUAAUAGGAUGCUAUAUUGUUUCUAUAUUGGCCUUUCUCUCAUUGAAGAAUAGUAGCUCUCAAACUAUAUCCUAGAGGAAAGUGUUAAUAGAAUGCAAAAAGGAAUAGUUACUCCAUUUUCACUCUCAACACUAUGGAUGUCUGCACAAAUCAUUUCAUGGGAAUGUUUGAAGCAUAGGUACAUGAGCACCAUGAAGGACCCACCAAGUCUUUAGGCCUAUGUGAUAAUGAUCGUAGAUAUUAUUGAAGGCUGUGCGAGCUGAUUGAGCAAUUAUUCACAAUUCUCACUUUAUUUUUAUUUUGUUGCUUUAAUAGAUUGCAAUAAUCUUUCAACAUUGACUUUCUUUAUUUGGAAAAGAGCAACUCUCAACGAAUUAUAUUCUGGGGGUAAACAUCCUCACAAAGGGAUAUCAACACAAGAGUAUAACAGACAUUAUUAUGAUUUAUUGCUCAAUAAAGAGCAGACUCUCUGAAUGAACAUUCUAGCAAUUUCAUCAUGCAGCUAUUUGUUGUCAUAUUAAAAGCUUUCUCAAUUGUAUUUCCACUUCCUCUAGCCUUUCUUUUCUUUUGCUUAGUUCUAUGAAAAUUAAUAUCAAUUUUACUAUUAAUAAAAUUUCUACCCAAUGACAAUGGUUCAUUAUUUAUCAUUCUUAAUUUAGCCGCAUCUUUCGCCUUUUGCAUAUUGCUUGUAUCUUUUGUAGUUACUUUUGGACAAAUCUCAAUACCACAUCGCGAUAAUUUUAAGGAAUGUGCCCUUACUCAUGCAUAUGAUAUUCUUAGCUGCAUUUCAAAAAUUGCAUUGCCAGUUAUCACCGCCUUCAUUGAGUUAUAUCAUAUAUUGUCACAUAUUUCUAAAGAGGUUUAGACAUAUUAUCAUCUACUCCCUAUCGUGUUCUUGAGAUGGAGAUGGAAAUUUUGAGGAAGCUGAAGUGAAAUGCAAAACGAGCAGACUAAGAAUCGAGGAAGACUAGUAUGGUUCAUGACAGCUUCUAUACGUAUGUAUUAUGCAUUCUUUGCAAUUUAAGGUUGGAAGGUUAAAAUAGUUAAGUUUCGAUUGGUUUUUCUUCCACGAUUUUUUACUCUUGAAGUUGUUCUAUGUUCAAUUGUGUGCCCGUUCUUUUAAGUAAAGUUUGUUGCCUGUUUUUCAUUUACCUUAAAAAUUUGUGUCUUAUAUUAUCAAAUCACGCUUCUUAAUUGUUUAGAAGCAGUGACAAAAUGCAAGUACAAUAAAAAUUCCGUAAUCCAGGAAAAUUAUCAUAUCGAUUUUGUAUCAUUUUGGCGGCAUGGCCGAGUGGUAAGGCAGAGGACGGCAAAUCCUUUUUCCCCAGUUCAAAUCCAGGUGUUCCCUGAUCAACGGUCAAAGCAUUCGGGAACUAGAAGAAAAACUCCAGGGACUACGCCAGGAGCAGCAGACACUGAUCCUGGCGGCAUACAAUCGAAACGACUCCCGCUAGAUAGCCGCCCCUUUAUCUCUUUUUACAGCUUCGUGGACGAACGGCCUGAUCCUUAAUCUAUUUUAUAUUAGAUUUACAUUACGAAAUACUUUCGCGGAAAUGGAACCUACAAACUAGGAAAAAGACUAGCUUAUCUAUCCACGCUAAAAAGGGAAUCUUUAGCAUUAUGAGCCGGGACGCCCAACUUCUCCCGAACAGGCACAAGCGUGAUUCAGGCAAGUCAAAUGACGAAUCAUUUCAAAGAGAUCGCGUUUCGGGAUGCAUGAUGACUCCUGAUUGUUAUUCUGUCAACGAUUCCGUCAAAGGUGAGAAGUUAGAAGAAGGAAUUGAAUUCUUUCUACGCCUGCUAGAGAUGCUUUAUCUAAAGAUUACUUUCAAGUGGGGAGUGAAUGAAAGUCGAUACCGAAAUCCUAGGCUCAAAAGCCACAUUUUUCGAGAUUAGGGUUUCUCUUCAUUUAGCGCUAUCCUCUUUCCUCCCUAACACAUUUGGCACUAAUUCUUUCCCUCUUCCACCUAGCAGCAUCUCCUCUUCCGCCCAGCUGCCUCCUUCCUCUGAUCAUUUGCCAUUUCCUCUUCAGGUUAGUAUCCCCUUUUCCCAUUUUGUUUUUGAUUGUUUGAAAUGCAUUUGCCAUUUCCAAUAUGUGGUGACCGGUUCAAAAAAAUAAUGAAACGUGACAUGCCCAUCUGUGUGUCGGACAUAUACCUGGUAUGUAUCCAUGUCAGGUAUCUGUCUGACAAGGACACUCCGGCUCCAGUGGCAUGUCUGUGCUUACUAAUUAUUCUAUCUAAAGAAAUGGAUUGUGACCAUUAAGGCAAUUGCAUAGAGAUUCACAAAUCAAUUGCCAUCAAAGUUCUUAGUGUGGAAUAUAUCAAUAUUGGGUUAUCUGCUACUUAUCCUUUCCACACUUGAAUGCUCUAAUAUGUCCACAUUGAAUUUUCUAAUAAAAUUGGCAUGCUGUUCUAGGUGAGAUUUGAAUAAGUUGAUAUUUGACUUGAGUUUUCAUUUUUACCAUCAAAACUGAUGGCCAAGAAUCAUGUUAUGUGUUGAUUCUAUAAGUAAACGUAGUUUUUGGAAAGUAGUUAUUUUUGGAAAUGGAGUAUUAUUUAUGGACAUCCCAGAAGGGAAAUGAAGCAU
Long non-coding RNA from Olea europaea var. sylvestris, 4770 nucleotides. RefSeq lists it as uncharacterized. Lineage: Eukaryota; Viridiplantae; Streptophyta; Magnoliopsida; Lamiales; Oleaceae. The transcript is spliced from 3 exons. The record is from RefSeq and is a predicted model, not a curated record.